Piliocolobus tephrosceles (Ugandan red Colobus) is the source of this 347-nucleotide RNA transcript. It is a transcript of the gene named 10 kDa heat shock protein, mitochondrial pseudogene, with no coding region annotated. Lineage: Eukaryota; Metazoa; Chordata; Mammalia; Primates; Cercopithecidae. The transcript has a single exon. The record is from RefSeq and is a predicted model, not a curated record.
UCUCCUUGCGGCGCUACACUAGAGCAGAGUACGAGUCUGAGGCGGAGGGAGUCAUGGCAGGACAAGCGUUUAGAAAGUUUCUUCCACUCUUUGACCGAGUAUUGGUUGAAAGGAGUGCUGCUGAAACUGUAACCAAAGGAGGCAUUAUGCUUCCAGAAAAAUCUCAAGGAAAAGUAUUGCAAGCAACAGUAGUCGCUGUUGGAUCGGGUUCUAAAGGAAAGGGUGGAGAGAUUCAACCAGUUAGCGUGAAAGUUGGAGAUAAAGUGCUUCUGCCAGAGUAUGGAGGCACCAAAGUAGUUUUAGAUGACAAGGAUUAUUUCCUAUUUAGAGAUGGUGACAUUCUUUGA